RNAcentral lists this ribosomal RNA (253 nucleotides) under uncultured bacterium. RNAcentral describes it as "partial 16S ribosomal RNA". It matches the Rfam family "Bacterial small subunit ribosomal RNA", at positions 524 to 776 of the family's 1533-position model. The record is from RNAcentral.
GACAUAGGUCGCAAACGUUAUCCGGAAUUACUGGGCGUAAAGGGCGCGUAGGCGGCCUUCUAAGUCGAACGUGAAAUCCCCGGGCUCAACCCGGGAACUGCGUCCGAUACUGGAAGGCUUGAAUCCGGGAGAGGGAUGCGGAAUUCCAGGUGUAGCGGUGAAAUGCGUAGAUAUCUGGAGGAACACCGGUGGCGAAGGCGGCAUCCUGGACCGGCAUUGACGCUGAACAGCGAAAGCCAGGGGAGCAAACGGG